This 26-nucleotide non-coding RNA is filed under the name Mus musculus (house mouse). The record is from RNAcentral. Lineage: Eukaryota; Metazoa; Chordata; Mammalia; Rodentia; Muridae.
UCAAGUAGGAUAAGGCCCCUCAGCUA